Rhinolophus ferrumequinum (greater horseshoe bat) is the source of this 321-nucleotide long non-coding RNA. RefSeq lists it as uncharacterized. The record is from RefSeq and is a predicted model, not a curated record. Lineage: Eukaryota; Metazoa; Chordata; Mammalia; Chiroptera; Rhinolophidae. The transcript is spliced from 3 exons.
CUGAUUUAAGGAAACGUGGUUGCGCGGAUCGCUGAGUGAGAUGACUGGGUGCGACGUAGGUUGCGCCCUGAUGAAUCAGAUACGCUCUCUAAAGGAGGCUGGAUAGAAGUGAUAAACAAAUGAAGACAGAAGCAUCCUCAGAAUUUAUCUUUUCAACAUUUCAAGGGCAGUUCGGUCCUCUUCAAGCUGAUUGGAUUUUCCAUGGAAGAGGUGCCUGCAGCGUUGAUAAUGGAAGAGAGGAGAAAAUUAAAUUCACCUGUGCUGACCAAGUGGCAGAAGAGGACAAUCCAAUGUCAAAGAAAAGAUAUUUCAAAAGUUCAU